This 422-nucleotide ribosomal RNA is filed under the name uncultured eukaryote. RNAcentral's name for it is "SSU rRNA". It matches the Rfam family "Eukaryotic small subunit ribosomal RNA", at positions 592 to 1018 of the family's 1831-position model. The record is from RNAcentral.
CAAUAGCGUAUAUUAAAGUUGUUGCGGUUAAAAAGACUCGUAGUUGGAUUUCUGCCGAGGACGACCGGUCCGCCCUCUGGGUGAGCAUCUGGCUCGGCCUGGGCAUCUUCUUGGAGAACGUAGCUGCACUUGACUGUGUGGUGCGGUAUCCAGGACUUUUACUUUGAGGAAAUUAGAGUGUUUCAAGCAGGCAUACGCCCUGAAUACAUUAGCAUGGAAUAAUAAGAUAGGACCUCGGUUCUAUUUUGUUGGUUUCUAGAGCUGAGGUAAUGAUUAAUAGGGACAGUUGGGGGCAUUAGUAUUUAAUUGUCAGAGGUGAAAUUCUUAGAUCGGUCAAAGGCGAACUACUGCGAACGCAUUCGCCAAGAAUGUUUCUUUAAUCAAGAACGAAAGUUAGGGGAUCGAAGAUGAUCAGAUACCGU